UGCAGGUUCUAAAUGGCUUCUAAUAAGUUGGGAUCUGACUCUCAUGAUCGUCUCCUUUACUGUGGCCCAAUGAUCCUGCUGCAAGACAGGCCUUUCAGUUAUCUUGAUGAUGUCCCAUUUAGAAUAGGAGACAAAUUCAAAAUCCCAUCAAAGGUUGGAUUGCCCAUUGGUUUCUGCCUGCCUGAUGCUUCUCGGCUUGUCAGAGAAGCCCUGUAUGACUUCUCACUGGAAAAGAAAACAAUCAAGUGGUCUGAAGAUAUAAAAAAAAUUGAAGCUGCCCUGAGAGAAGCUGAACUCAAGGCAGAAGCAGCCCUAGUGAACUCAAAAGCAAUUCCAGAGGACAGCAACAAAAUGGAGUUCUCAAAGGGACUUUGUCCUGAGGUCAUGCCUCCUCCUAUUAACCCCCUCCUUGCUAGCCUGCAGUACAAUAAUAUUCUUACUCCCACACCAGCUGACAGCAGUGCUGUGAAGCAAAAGGUUCUUCGUCCACCUUGUCCAAAAGCAGACUUCAACCCAGCUGAUUUUGAAUGUGAAGAUGACCCAUUUAACAAACUGGAAUUAAAAACUAUUGAUGAUAAGGAGGAAUUAAAAAAUAUUCUUGAAAUUCAUGUUGGUACUACUGGGCCGGAUUUUGCUCAGUUGUUAGUUAAUACUUUGCCCAAAGGAGGAUCUGAAUCUGUGUUGCAAGACGAGGAAAUUCUGGCAUCUGUAGAAAGGACCACGUUGGAUUUCAAGCCCCUUCACAAACCCAAUGGUUUUAUCACUUUACCACAGUUGGAAAACUGUGAAAAGUUGUCUUUGUCUUCCAAAGUGUCCCUGUCCCCUAUCACUUCAGUGAGCAAUAUCAAAUCCCUGUCCUUUCCUAAACUUGAAUCUGAUGACAGUGGUCAUAAAUCAUCAAAGCUCACAAGCACUUUCCACAGCAUUAACUGUCUUCACAAUGGCACUUUUCUCAGCUCUUUGCAGACCUUUGCUCAGAGUAAAGGUAUUGAACUGAGUGGACACCAUAUGGUUGGUCUUUCCACUCUAAAUGAGGACAGUGGCAUGGAGACAUCCACGUUAUCCUCUUCAUCCAGGCUGCCUUCCCUGGCUGGGUCAACAGUUUGUACAGAAGAAGAAUCAACAUUUCCAAGUACAACAACUAUGGUACACCCAGACUUCAAGGAAAUGGAAAUCCCUCUGGUAACACACCAAAAUUUCCCAGUGUCUAAAGUGCCUGUUAACACCAUCUGCACAAAGCAGUUGGGUGGCUCUGAACUACAGCAGGUCCUCUCUGCUAGUGAGAGGCAGUGCGUAGAGACGGUCAUCAGCACGGGGUACUCGCCUGAGAAUGCCCUGAAAGCCAUAAAGAAGAAGGGACAGAACAUCGAUCAGGUUUUGGAUUACCUGUUUGCACAUGGACAGCUUUGUGAGAAGGGCUUUGAUCCACUUCUUGUUGAAGCAGCUUUGGAAAUGCACCAGUGUUCAGAGGAGAAGGCAAGGGUACAACAUGCUAAGGAAUAAAGAGAAUGUGCCAUGAUGGGGAAUUCCAGCAGCAGUUCCCCCGGCUGAUGUAUUUCUGACUUUUAUGAUCACAGAACUUCUCCAAUUAAUGAGUCGAUUUAAAGAAAUGGGCUUUGAAAUAAAAGACAUUAAGGAGGUCUUAUUAUUACAUAACAACAACCAACACAACGCUUUGGAAGAUCUAAUGGCUCGUGCAGGAGCCAGCUGAAAUCCAGCCAGCUGGAUUCUUGGUAUGCAGUGGAGCAGGUCCAGCCCCGUCACCUUCAUAUCCAGUGUGACUUGCUCUCAGAAGGAAGGAGUCCAGCUUUUUCCAUAUAUGGGAAAGUGACUGAGCAAGCCUGCCCAUGUGCAUCACUAGCAUUUCUCUUUCCAAUGAGAACCAACUUUCUUAAUUUAAAUUUUUAAAUGUCCUUUCCUACUUUUCCAUCUUGGCCACGGAGUAUAGACUGCCCAAAAUGUACUGGAUUUAUACAUAGGUAGAGACAGGAGUGGUUUCUCAUUGUUGCACUGGAGUAGGAUAGAAGAAUACUUAGUUCUGAAACUAGGAUGCCCUGG
This is an RNA transcript of Calypte anna (Anna's hummingbird), 2058 nucleotides long. It is a transcript of the gene named ubiquitin-associated protein 1, with no coding region annotated. Lineage: Eukaryota; Metazoa; Chordata; Aves; Apodiformes; Trochilidae. The record is from RefSeq and is a predicted model, not a curated record. The transcript has 8 exons.